Gopherus flavomarginatus (Mexican gopher tortoise) is the source of this 1145-nucleotide RNA transcript. RefSeq lists it as uncharacterized. The transcript is spliced from 3 exons. Lineage: Eukaryota; Metazoa; Chordata; Testudines; Testudinidae. The record is from RefSeq and is a predicted model, not a curated record.
UCCAAAGACAUAAACAAUGCUCCCAUUAUCUCCUUUCUCCCACUCACUCCAUCCCUAUCCCAUAGCUUAUCAGAUUUCCAAAGUGAAAAUCUAGGAAAAGCCAUCAGACGUUGGUUCAUGGAAGGUGGGAGAAUUCUGGAGUAGUCUGGCAAAGGAGAGGAGAAAGAAAGAGGAUUGGAUUAAGGAGGUGCACAUAGGAGUGUAUUGGCCUCUCUCUCUCUCCCAUCAUUAUAUUCCUAUCUUCUCCAUUCUUUGUGCUGAACUCUCUGCUGGGGUUAACCCAGACAACAUCAAAAUUGGAUGACAGGUGGUAGGAAGAUCAUUUCGACCUCCAAGCAUGUUAUAAAAAAGCUGUGGUUGAAAGAAAACCCUGAAAGAGUGUGUUCUGAGUUUGUCUCAAGUAAAGGAAGAACUGACUGGCGGUUUCCAGAACUCCAUUGAUUAGGCUGUGAUGCUUGGAGAACCUUUCCCAGAUCUGAAGAAGAGCUCUGUGGGGCUCGAAAGUUUGUCUCUUCCACCUACAAAAGUUGCCUGGUCCCUGUGACUUUAUGCUGCAAUUUUUUCAAGCCUCCCUACUCUAUCCCGAAGGCUGUCUCAGAUAAGGCGGAGGAAAAUAAAGACGAGAGAUGAAAUGUUCUCGAAAAUCAUGGAAGUAACCUGCAAUGAAAGAGCUCAUCUGAAUGAGCGGAAGGACAUGGUAUCAAAUUACAGGAAAGAUGCCAGUGAACGUGAGGACAGGAGGGAUGAACGUGAUGAGAGGUGGCGGCAGCAAGAUCAGAGAAGGCAUGAUGAAACGCUGGGGCUGCUGCAUGAUCAAACUGACAUCCUCCGACAUCUGGUGGAGCUUCAGGAGCAGCGGCAGGAUCACAGAGUGCCGCUGCAGUCCCUGUGUAACCACCCUCACCACUCACCAUGUUCCAUAUCUUCCUCACCCAGACGUGUAAGAACGCAUGGGGGAAGGCUUCGUGCACCCACCCACUCCACUCCCGUGGGCAGCCCAACCAAAAGGCUGUCAUUACUUUGAAAUAUUUUUAGUGGCCUUUUCCUUCCCUCCUAUCCUCCUCCCAAACCCCACCCGGGAUACCUUGUCAGUUCUCUCCCUCUUUUUAUAAUGACUUUUUAAUAAAGAAUACAUGAUUUUUAAA